GUCUGUGACAUCAUAUCCAGCUCUCAUGGCCAUCAGCUGGAGUGCAGUUCCUGAGCAGCCUUUGGAUGUUACUGCCAAUGGCUUUCCACAGGGAACAACAAAGAAAACAAUUGGAAGCCUUCAGGCAAGAUCCCAAAUCAGCAAAGUGGAACUCUUCAGAUCAUUCCAGAAGCUGCUAAGCAGAAUUGCAAGGGACAAGUGGCCACACUCCCUCAGGGUUUUGGCUGAAGCGGAGCAGCUACGAGGAGCAGCCGACCGUGCGCUUCCAACACCAGGUGCUGCUCGUGGCCCUGCUCGGACCCGAAAGCGACGGGUUCCUCGCCUGGAGCACGUUCCCCGCCUUCAACCGGCUGCAAGGGGAUCGCCUGCGCGUCCCGCUCGUUUCGACUAGAGAAGAAGACAGGAACCAGGAUGGGAAGACGGACAUGUUACAUUUUAAGCUGGAGCUUCCCCUGCAGUCCACGGAGCACGUUCUCGGUGUGCAGCUCAUCCUGACUUUCUCCUAUCGAUUACACAGGAUGGCGACCCUCGUGAUGCAGAGCAUGGCGUUUCUCCAGUCCUCCUUUCCUGUCCCGGGAUCCCAGUUAUACGUGAACGGAGACCUGAGGCUGCAGCAGAAGCAGCCGCUGAGCUGUGGUGGCCUAGAUGCCCGAUACAACAUAUCCGUGAUCAACGGGACCAGCCCCUUUGCCUAUGACUACGACCUCACCCAUAUUGUUGCUGCCUACCAGGAGAGGAACGUUACCACCGUCCUGAAUGAUCCCAACCCCAUCUGGCUGGUGGGCAGGGCCGCAGAUG
Homo sapiens (human) is the source of this 798-nucleotide long non-coding RNA. The record is from Ensembl. NCBI's taxonomy places the organism in Eukaryota, Metazoa, Chordata, Mammalia, Primates, Hominidae.